Molecule: long non-coding RNA, 8337 nt
Organism: Zea mays
Lineage: Eukaryota; Viridiplantae; Streptophyta; Magnoliopsida; Poales; Poaceae
Exons: 4
Source: RefSeq, a predicted model, not a curated record
GUCGUCCAGGUCGUCUCCCUAAUCGCGAUUAAUCGUCUGGUCGCCUAGUGAGGACGACUAGAUGACGAGACGACAUGAAAUCAUUGGUCUAGACAAAAUGCGUCUGUGAGAAGUCGCAAACAUGUUAUGUUUGUACUUUGUUCCUGUUGUAACCGUCAUCAGAGACGCGUAUAGAUAAUACAUGACUGUGAUGACUUUUUUCAUAGACGCGUUAAGUGUCUCUAAUAACAAUAGUGGCGUAGCUAGGAUUUUAUCAUGAGGUAUAUCAUAACAAAAAUUUCCAUAAAUAAUUUGGUAUACAAUUUUUUUCUCGAAUGCACAAAACAAUUGUACAUCAUUAUAUUAAGAAGAAAAGGAGUUUAGUCCAAAAUGGAUAGGAACAAAACAACAUACGAAACAACACAUGAACCAAAUUCGGUAUACAAUUUAGAAUAUAAAGAUAAGAAUAGCAUACGAAAAUAUAGAUUUAACAUUUAACUUCAUAAAUACAUACAUUAGAAUACAAAUAGAAUAUAUAUCAGUUUUAUUUCUAGGCUUUAGUGGACUGGUGGUCCGGUGGACCUGCUUAGGGCCAUCCCGAACCACCCGCGGGCUACGCCACUAGAUAACAAGUUACCAUAGACAUGUGUUGCGGUUAAUCCAGACCUGUUAUGGCCUUAUGUGAGAUACGUCAUACCUACGUCUUUAAUCUCUACUAAUAUAAAAGCGAGAUUUUCUCCCUUCGUGUGUCUCCCUUACACAUCGGCUAGCUACCACCACGACUCCCUUCCACCGCAAAAAUUUAAAAAAUGAAGCGCGGGGCGGAUGUCCAAGUAGCAAGUAUUGGGAUCUAACCACUAGAGUUCAUUACCAUUUGUGAUAUAAAAAGAAUAAAUAUUGUAAAUAUUAUAUUAUACAAAGUAUAGAUAUUGUAAAUAUAUGUAUACUAAUAAUUUAGAAAUAAAAAAUAAUCAUGUCACACUAAGUCGGCUCUGUGGGCUAAGAAGGCGGCCCUAGCACCGCCCAGUUCUCAGAUCGAAACGACACAGGUCCACUUUGAAUCUUGGCGGGCUAGUUUAUGCCACUAUUAAAUUGGUCGUGCCUCGGACCGGCCCGCCAGACACGACUCGUUUCGUCAUCUAUAGUCCAGUACAUCCAUCCUCAUAGUUUCUGAUCUCGUGAGCCUGGAAAAAAAGCAAGAGAAAAAACUUUAUCACGUCUCACCCCCACACCAUAUACCUCGCCACACGUCUCUGCCUCUCUCCUCACCAUAUCGUCGUCCGUCGUCUCAAGGGCAAAAUCGUAGGUGUACCAUGAGGUGUAGCCCACUCCGUGUGAUCCAAACCGUGGAGCACGCAUUUAGAUCCGCGUGAGGCGAACUACUGCAUCCUGCCGCACGCGAUAGGGAUCAAGACAAUAAUUCAGAAAAUCCUUGUCGGCUAGGUACCGAAGGGAAUAAGUAUGUCACCGAAGGGAAUUAAUAAUUCUCGUCAGUAUUAGGCUAAUUCUUUCCGAUACAUGGCUAAUGAGGAGUGGUAUUAGUGAUUAAUUAAUUCCCGUCAACCACCAAAGAGAAUUAAUUAAUACUCGUCGGUCAUGUGUAGUCGACAUUUAACACUAGACUGCGCAAACUCCUGUCGGUCCCGCCCUUGGAUGACCUGGAUUAUAAGUACGUAGAUAUUGCUUGUGGCCAACGGCAAUUAAGACAUUAUCCCCGUCGGCUUAGAUAGCUGACGGGAAUUACCCCACGAUCAAUAACUCUCGUUGGCUAUGGUCAAGCCGACGGGAGUUAUCCUAUGUUGUUGCAAACCAGUAGCCUAUUUUACUAAUUUCUCAUCUAACCACACAAACAACAAGCUUAUAUUGUAUAUCAAUUCCCAUACAUCACAAACACCAUUCACAAUUCACAUACAUCACAUCAUCAAAUACUUCACAUUACAAAUUCUUCAAACAAACACAUAGAAGCACAUAUUCAUUUCAAAUCACAACAACGAGACAAGUUAAAUAUUUUGUUCACCAAAGCACAUAAAAUUUAGUUUAACACACACCAUUCAUCAUCCAUAACCAAAGACAAACCACAAGUCCAAAUAUAAAAAAAUAGCAUACAAUGGUUUAGGGACAACCACUUGGAUGGUUCGAGCUUUGGUCACUGCCACCACCAGGAGGAGGGUACACAAAGAGGGACUCAACAAAAGUCGAUCCAGCUGGUUCAGUUACACUCCCACCCAUUCCUAGUGUAGCCUAUGUAAGAAUGCAAAUAUCAACAAGUUAAGUAUACAAAUGUAUCAAAUCAUAAGAAUAUUUCGAGAGUUACAAAACGUAUCUGGUCUUCAGUUGCAGGUAUAUAUGUGGGGGUGAUGAUUGUUGCAUCCCCGAUCCCUAUUUAAUCGACAUUUGAUUAAGUUUAGAUACAAUUCAUGUGUUGCUAUAAUAACUAGAUGAAAUUAUACAUUAGACAAUGUUAUAAUAGAAUUUGCUAAAGAUUACCAUAUUUUACCAAUUUCUCAUACAAUUCACACAAACAACAAGAAUAUAAUGUAUAUCCAUCCACAUGCAUCACAAACACCAUUCACAACUCACUUACAUCACAUCAUCAAAUACUUCACAUUACAAAUUCCUCAAACAAACACAUAGAAACACAUAUUCAUUUUGUCGGUGUUUUGGACCAGGGGUCCUCAACCAACUAGUGAAACGAUAUUGCGUGCCCUAGACCCAGAUGGUGAUUUGAGUUGACACAAGCGAUUUAUCCUGGUUUGGACUACGAGAGGCCAUACUUCCAGCAGAGGUGGGAUGAUGCUUAUAUUACUCACACAAAAGUGCUCGUGGUAGGGGUUACAAGCAUAGCGGGAGAGGGGUGGAUCCUAAGUCCCAGCUGGUGAUUGAGGCAAGUCCCAAUACCAGGUAGGGGAGAAGAAUGAUCAAGUGUUCGCCUGCCUUGUGUCUCCCUGUUCCUUGUGGAGCCGUGAACUAUCCUAUUUAUAAGCUCGGGGAGAGUUGCCUUGUAGAUGGGAGCCAACUACAUGCUGUGAAGGGGUGUCUUCAUAACCUAUAGACAAUAUGGCCUUGUACUUUGCCGUUGACUUGGGCUUGCUUGUUUUCUGCUGAGAGCAGAGGCCGAGGCUGAGGGCUUGGUCACGUACCCGAGCCCCCUGGCGUGGGAUUUCCCAUACCGUAGUGGUUGACAUAGUGCCUGUCAUGGGAAAAAGCUUCUUAUGGGAUGCGUCAGCUCUACUAUUUCUGAUGAUGUUGGGAAGUCCUCUGCCAUAGGUAUCGAGGGAAGAACUGAGCUCGGGCAAGGCGGAGGUCCGUCUGAGGUUGCGACCGAGUCUUGUCUUGAGAUUUGAUGACGUGUGCCACACUCGAUGGAGUGGCCUUCCACGGGAUUCACAGGGGACAGGUAGCCGAGGCUGGGUUCGAGCGAGGCGGAGCCUACGCCCAAGGUCGAGUUCUGUAUUGGGCGAGGCGAAACUUGCGCCCGAGGUCUUGGUCCGCAUCAUGUCAUAUUACGCGUCCCAUCAAGGGUUAUCAAGCGGCAUGCACAUGCGUAAUGAUGUUGGUGAAUCUUUGAUAAGACCGCGGUCCUGUUGAACGAUUCGCCUGUAGCCCAACGUGAGGUAGGUGUCCGCAUUGAAUGCGGUUGUCUCCCAACGGCCCUCGGGAAAGUUUUGUCUUUAUCGCCUAAGGCGGGCACGGACAAGGUGGACAUGGCUGCCCUAGGAUGAGGGAGCCUCAGCCGGGACGAAGAUUCUCCCGAGCUUACAUCUCGCCCGAGACAGGCCUCGGGCGAGGCGGAGUUUUGGGAAGACCCCUGAGGGGAACCUCAGGGGAGACAGAGUUUUGGUUCCUUAUUCUAGGAGGACAUACCUUGAUAGAGUCCUUAGGAUUUUAGGUGCGUUUUAGGGGCCUAAUCUGGGUACCCCUAAUUAUCGUACCCGACAGUAGCCCCCGAGCCUUCCAAAGAAGUGUUUCGACACUUGUUUAGAGGUUCUUCUGUUCUUUGUGCGAGUACACUAUCUUUUCCUAAGGAGUGGAAGAUUUUUUACUUAUGGGUGCACGCGAGCGCACCUGUCGGUUGUAGCCCCCGAGGCCCUGAAGGAGUAGUUGACUCCUUCAGGGUCUUUGUUUUUACCUCUAUAGGCAUGGUGGACUCUGUUUGUCACCUGCCACAGCCUAGGCGCGAAGGGAGCCCCCGAGCAUUCUAUGUCAUUUUGUAGGAGUUUCCAACAAAUUUGCCACAUCAUGGGUUGCAAGGGUAGUCCCAAGCCUUUGCGUGGGUCUAGAGGACGAUCGGUGGGCGCCUUGACUUUUUUGGUUAUACGCCUCUUUGUCGCCUCUCCGGAAAGAGGAAGAGGGGGACGACGCGAUGCUGCUCUCGGUGGGCAACGAGCAUGACGUCUCCAGUGAGCUGCUAACGGGUAACCCGAGCGAAGGCCCGAUCUCCGUUUGAUAGGAGUCGACUAGUGGUCCAGAGACGUGCCCCAAAAGUACCUGUGGGUGAUUCGCCUGGUCCCGAUCCCAUUUGAUGGGGUCCAAGGGCUCGAUUGCCUCCCCCCGAUGGGAUACCAUCACGAAUCUCUCUCAAGGGUCUCGGAUAUGUCUUAGGGUAUCUCGGGAUCAUAGCCUGAGCCUUUGAUGUUUACGAACAUACCCAUAGUCAUCCCUGACUAUGUUCUGGGGCGAUUGUGAUAUCCUUCCGAGGGGCGAACCUUCGAACCACUGAUCAAUAACGGGCCUAGAGCCCAUGUGUUCUAGGGCAAUCUCCCGAGCCUUACCGGGGGCUUGACCUUCUAACCCCUAAGCAGUAGGUGAGGUCUCUCCUCUUCUUUCUCGAGGAAGGAAGCCCGAGGUGGAGACACCCUCUUCUGCUACCUGCAAAGUGGAAAAGGAGGCACAUGAGAGAGUGGGAGAGGGGUGCAUCUUUUGAUGCGUUAUGUGAAGCGGUGCUAGCUGGCUGACGUCAGGAAGAGUGGGUAUUUAAUGCAACGGGAAGCUUCGGCCCGUAGGCCGAUCGUUGCGGCACGCGUGCACGUGGAUUUCGAAGCGACCUAGCCCAUUCCUGGUUUGGACUCAGGAUGGCUCAGCCCACGCCUCGGUGAUUCUGCUCGCCCCUAUAAAUUCACCCGAGAGGGGCUCUUCGGUUCUUUACUUCCCUCUCUUGCUUUCCUACCCUAGCCUCCUUCUGCCUUAGCCGCAAAAAACUCAUGCGCUCUUCUCCCAUCUUCUUCGUUAGCUACGAUGGCUAAGAAGUUGAGCGUUCUCCCUCCUUGCGACCCAUGGCUCAUUUCCUCAGUUACCGACGAGGAUCUAGAGGCGUUGGUGGAUGUCGGGCUACUUCGCCCCCGCUCCCAUGGCCUGCAGCCCAAGUGGAAUGCGCCGGGCGACAUCGCUUUCCACGAGCGGGGGUUCUGGGUGCCAGCGAGUCGCUUCAUGUGGGCGCUCCUACACUACUACGGGGUGGAGCUCCACAAAUUCAACCCUAGCUCCACCUCUUCCACACAGAGGCGUUCUCCCUCUCCUCCAACGUGAAGAAGGUGCGCCACAUGGCUCGGGCUGGUGGCUGCAUGCUCCUGCCGCGCUCAGAUCGAGCGUAACUGUACAUCCCUGCCAUCCUCACCUCAUCAAACAAGGGGUGGCAGAGUUGAUGGUUCUACCUCCCCAACGACGAUGGGCGGCUGCCGGCAUAUACGCAGCGUGUUGUCUUUGCGAUGGCAGAACACUGGCGGUGGGGCUCCCCUCGAGAGCUUCAGGCCCAGCUGAACCCGCUGUUGGACGCCUUGCGUAGGCUCCAGGAGCGUGGUCUUACUAUGGCCGGGGUCGUCAUCGCUUUCUACUGGAGGAGGGUAUUGCCGCUGACCGAGUGUCGGCUUCGUCUGGAUGAGAUGACGUCGGAUGCCUCUGUCGAAAGCUCUCGGAUGGCCUCGGCCACCCUCUCCACCAAUGAACUCCUCCGGUGGGUGAAAGGGGCGGUGGGGAGGACUACACCACUCCCGUCCUGAUGUGCCCCGACCAAAGCUACGUGUCCCUAGUGAGUUUUUGCUCUUUUCCUUCAGUUUCUAGCCAUUUCCUUCUCGUCUCAUCCCUUCUAUCCCUUUUGCAGGGAUUGCGGGACUAUCGAACCGCCUGACCCCGGUUCUGGAGGACGCGACUGGUAGGGCGGUGCGUUGCUUGGCUAUCGAGGAGAAGAAGAAAGAUGCAGACAAGAAGUGGGCCCAUAAAAAGAUGCUAGCCCACGACACAUUGGAGAAGUGCCGCAUGGCACAGGCAAGGGAGGGGAUGCUACGGGAGGCCUCUCCCAGCAUAGAGUAUGAUGAUGACGAUGAUGACAAUGAGGGCAUGGAGGUCCGACUGGGCUUCAGCCUCGAGGCUGAACUUUGGUCUGCGUUAGCCUCGGCAGGCCCAUUCAUUGGCGCAGACGUACCCACGCAGGGGCUGACAGCGUCCCUAUCCGAGGCGCGGACGUCAGCCAAGUCGGACCCCAUCCUCAUAGCCAUAGAUGAGGCAUGGGCCAUGGAGGAGAGACCGCUACCCUGCCUCAGGUGCCUGCCAUGGGGAUCGUGGAGGAAAAAGUCAUCGUACCGCUCCAAGUGCCCACCACGGGGCAAAGGGGCCCAAGGAGCCGGAAGCCGAGGGUGGACGUGGAUGUCGUACCUCGGUCCGGGCACUAAGCGCCGAGCCCACAAGCCGACCUUAACCGCUACCAAUGCGGUGAAGCGCAACAUUAGGACGUCGACCAGGGCCACAUCCCGCUCCCACGUGUGGCUCGACGCUGCCAAGGAAAGGAGGCCAUCCAACAGGGUGCCGAAGCGACCCGGAUUGUCCUCAGUGGGUAGGCCGGGUAGGAUGCUACUGUCGCAGAGGCGGCCAUGGCCCCUCCGGCGCCACUGGUCGAGGCCAUCCUAGUGAUCUCUACCGAGGAGGCGGCGGGGGUGGCAGACGCAACGUCGACCAUGGCAUCGCCCACCGUCUCGGACCUCCUACGCGGCAUCCCCGACACCCCAGAUGCCACCCGGAGCCCCGAGGCGGCUAACUUCGAGGGGGCCCAGUCCCUCGAGGCGACCUGGGGAAUCAGUCGAGGAGCAUAUCAUCCCACCCCCAUCAUCGGGGUGGGUGGUGACCUUGUUCGCGCUGGACUAUACCUCUCGACGUGGGAAGGGCCGACCCUGACAUAGAUGGCACUGAGGGCAACCCCUACUUGGUCCUCGAUGACGCAAAGGAGAAGUAGAUGUGGUCAGAAUUCCGAACAAUAGAUCGGGGGCUUAUGCGAAGUCCGCGACCAAGUCGAUUUUCAUUCAUCGUGAGCGCGACGUCUGGGCCGUGUUGCAACACCAUCAGGCCAUGUUGUGUCGUUCAAACGAACAACUGGCUUUGAAGAGUGUCGAGGCGAUGGACCUAUUGUCACUAUGCGCGGAAUUAAAGGACGAGGUCGUGGCCACAUGCGGGAGGGUGGUGCCACUACAAGAGGAGGUGCGACUGCUGAAUGAGAGAGUGGCGCUGCUGGAUCAGGAGGCGAUGAAGUCGCUGAGGGAGAGGGUGGUCCCGCUGGAGGAGGAGGUGCGACGACUGAAGGAAAGUCUUCUAGCGGUGGCCGGUGAACGAGAUGAGUCUCGGCGCCAAGCCAUCGAUGCCUUUCUCCGUGCUGACUCCCUUGCGAGGGAUCUGGAGACCGAGCGAUCUGCCCAAAGCCUAAGGGCCUAGAUGGAAGAAGGAUUUGGACAUCUCCAUCCAGACCUCUAAGACGCUCUCCCAGGCCGUGGACCAAAUAAUGGCCGAGCUGAAGGAGUUGUCCGACCUUGGUGCCGUGGAUGUCCCCUCAGGUGAGUGCUCGCAGAGCCAUACGCAAGCCCUGAGUGGCUACGUGCAGAGUGAACUCUGCGAGGAAAUCCACCUCAGGGUGAAGCGGGCGUUGGCCGUAGCCGCCUCCCAUUACGAGAUCAAUCUUGAGCGGGUGUGCGAAGGUUACAUUCUGCUAGACGAGCGUGACCUCGUCGAGGCCAAGAUGUAGAGGCUCACCAAUGUUGUUGAGGGGCCGGGCUCGACGUUGGCGUCCCACUUUAGGCCUUGUUCGGUUAUUCCAUGUGUAUUGGAGUGUAUUGGGAUGUAUUUUGACUUGCUAUGGAUUUAAACCGACUCAAUACCACUCAAUCCACAUGGAUUAACGGUGAAACGAACAAUGAGGUGGUUCCGCCGGUGUUGUCCCCUUUUGCCGGGUCUUAGGCCCUGUUCCAAUCUCGCGAGAUAAACUUUAGCAGCUAUUUUUUAGCUACUUUUAGCCAUUUAUAAUCUAAACAUGAGAGCUAAUGGUGAUAAUUGAAACUAAACUUUAGCACUUCAAUUCAUAUAGCUAAAGUUUAGCAGGAA